This is a long non-coding RNA of Nothoprocta perdicaria, 363 nucleotides long. RefSeq lists it as uncharacterized. NCBI's taxonomy places the organism in Eukaryota, Metazoa, Chordata, Aves, Tinamiformes, Tinamidae. The record is from RefSeq and is a predicted model, not a curated record. The transcript has 2 exons.
UCCUCCAUUGAUCAUCUUGCAGAGAAGACUUGAUUUCCAAAUGUUCAAGACCUCUGCCUUAGAAGACUUGACAUCAUCUCCUGCAAGUCGUGUGCAUCAAAACUAGUCCUUCUCUCUGCAGUGCCUGGAAUAAGGGAACGGAUGGUAAAAUGGCAUAAGGACAAGGUCUACUUCUAGGCAUCUGGACAGAAAAGGACUCCUUUGCCCCAAAGGAACUAAUGUCAAACAGCAGCACCGCUAAUGAGUUCCUGCUCCUGGCAUUCGCAGAGAGGCAGGAGCUGCAGUUCCUGUACUUCUCGCUCUUCCUGGGCAUCUACGUGGCUGCCCUCAUAGGCAAUGGCCUCAUCAUCACAGCCAUAGCCU